RNAcentral lists this ribosomal RNA (484 nucleotides) under uncultured bacterium. Its description in RNAcentral is "partial 16S ribosomal RNA". It matches the Rfam family "Bacterial small subunit ribosomal RNA", at positions 28 to 507 of the family's 1533-position model. The record is from RNAcentral.
AUUGAACGCUGGCGGCAUGCUUUACACAUGCAAGUCGAACGGCAGCGCGGGCUUCGGCCUGGCGGCGAGUGGCGAACGGGUGAGUAAUGCAUCGGAACGUGCCCAGUAGUGGGGGAUAGCUCGGCGAAAGCCGGAUUAAUGCCGCAUACGACCUGAGGGUGAAAGCGGGGGACCGAAAGGCCUCGCGCUAUUGGAGCGGCCGAUGUCGGAUUAGCUAGUUGGUGGGGUAAAGGCUUACCAAGGCGACGAUCCGUGGCUGGUCUGAGAGGACGACCAGCCACACUGGGACUGAGACACGGCCCAGACUCCUACGGGAGGCAGCAGUGGGGAAUUUUGGACAAUGGGGGCAACCCUGAUCCAGCCAUGCCGCGUGCGGGAAGAAGGCCUUCGGGUUGUAAACCGCUUUUGUUCGGGAAGAAAUCCUCUGGGCUAAUACCCCGGGGGGAUGACGGUACCGGAAGAAUAAGCACCGGCUAACUACGUG